CUCAUCCGUUUUUCACAUCGGAAAUUACUUUUUACCAUAGAAACCGGAUGACAUAUGAUAGCUGGCCUUUGUCUUUUGCUUUUUUCUUCAAAUUUUCCCGCAUUUUUCUUUGUCAGUUCAGACAUUCAUCG
Non-coding RNA from Caenorhabditis elegans, 131 nucleotides. NCBI's taxonomy places the organism in Eukaryota, Metazoa, Nematoda, Chromadorea, Rhabditida, Rhabditidae. The record is from Ensembl.